UACGUAGGUGGCAAGCGUUGUCCGGAAUUAUUGGGCGUAAAGCGCGCGCAGGCGGUCCUUUAAGUCUGAUGUGAAAGCCCACGGCUCAACCGUGGAGGGGCAUUGGAAACUGGGGGACUUGAGUACAGAAGAGAAGAGUGGAAUUCCACGUGUAGCGGUGAAAUGCGUAGAGAUGUGGAGGAACACCAGUGGCGAAGGCGACUCUUUGGUCUGUAACUGACGCUGAGGCGCGAAAGCGUGGGGAGCAAACAGG
RNAcentral lists this ribosomal RNA (253 nucleotides) under uncultured bacterium. Its description in RNAcentral is "partial 16S ribosomal RNA". It matches the Rfam family "Bacterial small subunit ribosomal RNA", at positions 524 to 776 of the family's 1533-position model. The record is from RNAcentral.